This 247-nucleotide long non-coding RNA is filed under the name Monodelphis domestica (gray short-tailed opossum). RNAcentral describes it as "lncRNA (ENSMODG00000030585.2)". Lineage: Eukaryota; Metazoa; Chordata; Mammalia; Didelphimorphia; Didelphidae. The record is from RNAcentral.
CCUUCUUUUGUGUGCAUCUUUGGUAAUAGUCUUUUCUGUAUCUCUAGAAAAUAUAUGUCAUAAAGAAACUGGAAAUUCUCCCCAUUUGGCUUGGCUCAUCCCAGCAUCCUUUUUGGAAAACAAAUGGCACUGUGUAAGUAAAACAAAAAUAAAAACUAAAGAUUAUGAGCUCCAUGAGGGCAGGGAUCACCUCUUCAUUUUCUCUGCAUUCUUCCCGGCACCUAAUUCAAGACCCCUUAACAAAUAG